GGUUAAGUGACUAAGCGUACACGGUGGAUGCCUUGGCAGUCAGAGGCGAUGAAAGACGUAGUAACUUGCGAUAAGCCCAGAUUAGGUAGUAACAACCAUUUGAGUCUGGGAUUUCUGAAUGGGGAAACCCACGUGCAUAAGCACGUAUCCUUACCUGAAUACAUAGGGUAAGGAGGCGAACCGGGGGAACUGAAACAUCUAAGUACCCCGAGGAAAAGAAAUCAACCGAGAUUCCGAAAGUAGCGGCGAGCGAAAUUGGACUAGCCCUUAAGCUUUACACGCGUUAGACGAACGGUCUGGAAAGUCCGACGAUACAGGGUGAUAGUCCCGUAGUUGACGACGUGUGUUCAGUGAAAUCGAGUAGGGCGGGACACGUGAUAUCCUGUCUGAAUAUGGGGGGACCAUCCUCCAAGGCUAAAUACUACUGACUGACCGAUAGUGAACCAGUACCGUGAGGGAAAGGCGAAAAGAACCCCUGUGAGGGGAGUGAAAUAGAACCUGAAACCGUGUACGUACAAGCAGUAGGAGCAGGCUUUGUCCUGUGACUGCGUACCUUUUGUAUAAUGGGUCAGCGACUUAUAUUCAGUGGCAAGGUUAACCAUCUAGGGGAGCCGUAGGGAAACCGAGUCUUAACUGGGCGUUCAGUCUCUGGAUAUAGACCCGAAACCAGGUGAUCUAGCCAUGGGCAGGUUGAAGGUUGAGUAACAUCAACUGGAGGACCGAACCGACUAAUGUUGAAAAAUUAGCGGAUGACUUGUGGCUAGGGGUGAAAGGCCAAUCAAACCUGGAGAUAGCUGGUUCUCCCCGAAAGCUAUUUAGGUAGCGCCUCGGACGAAUACUACUGGGGGUAGAGCACUGUUAAGGCUAGGGGGUCAUCCCGACUUACCAACCCUUUGCAAACUCCGAAUACCAGUAAGUACUAUCCGGGAGACACACGGCGGGUGCUAACGUCCGUCGUGGAGAGGGAAACAACCCAGACCGCCAGCUAAGGUCCCAAAUUACUACUAAGUGGGAAACGAUGUGGGAAGGCUCAGACAGCCAGGAUGUUGGCUUAGAAGCAGCCAUCAUUUAAAGAAAGCGUAAUAGCUCACUGGUCGAGUCGGCCUGCGCGGAAGAUGUAACGGGGCUAAGUAGUAAACCGAAGCUGCGGCAAUGUGCUUUUGCACAUUGGGUAGGGGAGCGUUCUGUAAGCGGUUGAAGGUGUGUGGUAACGCAUGCUGGACGUAUCAGAAGUGCGAAUGCUGACAUGAGUAACGAUAAAGGGGGUGAAAAACCUCCUCGCCGGAAGACCAAGGGUUCCUGUCCAACGUUAAUCGGGGCAGGGUAAGUCGACCCCUAAGGCGAGGCCGAAAGGCGUAGUCGAUGGGAAACGGGUUAAUAUUCCCGUACUUCUUACAAUUGCGAUGGGGGGACGGAGAAGGCUAGGUGGGCCUGGCGACGGUUGUCCAGGUUCAAGUGCGUAGGCUUAAGAGUUAGGUAAAUCCGGCUCUUUCUAAGGCUGAGACACGACGUCGAGCACCUACGGGUGUGAAGUCAUUGAUGCCAUGCUUCCAGGAAAAGCCUCUAAGCUUCAGAUUGUAAGGAAUCGUACCCCAAACCGACACAGGUGGUCGGGUAGAGAAUACCAAGGCGCUUGAGAGAACUCGGGUGAAGGAACUAGGCAAAAUGGUACCGUAACUUCGGGAGAAGGUACGCUCUCGACGGUGAAGUCCCUUGCGGAUGGAGCUAUUGAGAGUCGCAGAUACCAGGUGGCUGCAACUGUUUAUUAAAAACACAGCACUGUGCAAAAUCGUAAGAUGACGUAUACGGUGUGACGCCUGCCCGGUGCCGGAAGGUUAAUUGAUGGGGUUAGACUUCGGUCGAAGCUCUUGAUCGAAGCCCCGGUAAACGGCGGCCGUAACUAUAACGGUCCUAAGGUAGCGAAAUUCCUUGUCGGGUAAGUUCCGACCUGCACGAAUGGCGUAAUGAUGGCCACGCUGUCUCCACCCGAGACUCAGUGAAAUUGAAAUCGCUGUGAAGAUGCAGUGUACCCGCGGCUAGACGGAAAGACCCCGUGAACCUUUACUACAGCUGGCACUGAACAUUGACCCUACAUGUGUAGGAUAGGUGGGAGGCUUUGAAGCACGUACGCCAGUAUGUGUGGAGCCGUCCUUGAAAUACCACCCUUGUAGUGUUGAUGUUCUAACGUCGACCCCUUAUCGGGGUUGCGGACAGUGCCUGGUGGGUAGUUUGACUGGGGCGGUCUCCUCCCAAAGAGUAACGGAGGAGCACGAAGGUGGGCUAAUCACGGUUGGACAUCGUGAGGUUAGUGCAAUGGCAUAAGCCCGCUUGACUGCGAGAAUGACAAUUCGAGCAGGUGCGAAAGCAGGUCAUAGUGAUCCGGUGGUUCUGAAUGGAAGGGCCAUCGCUCAACGGAUAAAAGGUACUCCGGGGAUAACAGGCUGAUACCGCCCAAGAGUUCAUAUCGACGGCGGUGUUUGGCACCUCGAUGUCGCUCAUCACAUCCUGGGGCUGAAGUCGGUCCCAAGGGUAUGGCUGUUCGCCAUUUAAAGUGGUACGCGAGCUGGGUUUAGAACGUCGUGAGACAGUUCGGUCCCUAUCUGCCGUGGGCGUUGGAAGAUUGAAGGGGGCUGCUCCUAGUACGAGAGGACCGGAGUGGACGAACCUCUGGUGUUCGGGUUGUGUCGCCAGACGCAUUGCCCGGUAGCUAAGUUCGGAAUCGAUAACCGCUGAAAGCAUCUAAGCGGGAAGCGAGCCCUGAGAUGAGUCUUCCCUGAUACUUUAAGUAUCCUAAAGGGUUGUCGGAGACUACGACGUUGAUAGGUCAGGUGUGUAAGUGCUGUGAGGCAUUGAGCUAACUGAUACUAAUUGCCCGUGAGGCUUAACCAU
Molecule: ribosomal RNA, 2889 nt
Filed under: Vibrio parahaemolyticus UCM-V493
Lineage: Bacteria; Pseudomonadati; Pseudomonadota; Gammaproteobacteria; Vibrionales; Vibrionaceae
Description: LSU rRNA
Rfam family: Bacterial large subunit ribosomal RNA
Source: RNAcentral